This 182-nucleotide ribosomal RNA is filed under the name uncultured rumen bacterium. RNAcentral's name for it is "partial 16S ribosomal RNA". It matches the Rfam family "Bacterial small subunit ribosomal RNA", at positions 340 to 524 of the family's 1533-position model. The record is from RNAcentral.
UACGAGGCAGCAGUGAGGAAUAUUGGUCAAUGGGCGAGAGCCUGAACCAGCCAAGUACGUGCAGGAUGACGGCCCUAUGGGUUGUAAACUGCUUUUAUGCGGAUAAAGUGUGGGACGUGUCCCAUAUUGUAGGUACCGCAUGAAUAAGGACCGGCUAAUUCCGUGCCAGCAGCCGCGGUAAU